CGGCCGCAGUACUCUGACUGUGCAAAGGUAGCAUAAUCAAUUGGCUUUUAAUUGGAGUCUAGUAUGAAUGGAUUUACGUAAAAGUUCUGUCUCAACAAAAUUUUUUUUAAAUUUUUUAAAAGGUGAAAAAACCUUUAGUAUCUAAAAGACGAGAAGACCCUAAGAAUUUUAAAAAAAUUAAUCUAUCUUUUUUGCUGGGGCGGCAACGGAUCAUGAAACAUCCGUAUAAUCGAGGUUUUCGUAUUAUAAAUUACCUUAGGGAUAACAGCACAAUUGUGACCUCGAUGUUGGACUACGAACCUUAAGGUUAGAUACUCUAAAGG
This 323-nucleotide ribosomal RNA is filed under the name Sarasinula linguaeformis. Its description in RNAcentral is "partial 16S ribosomal RNA". It matches the Rfam family "Bacterial large subunit ribosomal RNA", at positions 1928 to 2570 of the family's 2925-position model. Lineage: Eukaryota; Metazoa; Mollusca; Gastropoda; Systellommatophora; Veronicellidae. The record is from RNAcentral.